This 397-nucleotide ribosomal RNA is filed under the name uncultured bacterium. RNAcentral describes it as "bacterial SSU rRNA". It matches the Rfam family "Bacterial small subunit ribosomal RNA", at positions 359 to 772 of the family's 1533-position model. The record is from RNAcentral.
GAAUAUUGCACAAUGGGCGCAAGCCUGAUGCAGCAACGCCGCGUGCGCGAUGAAGGCCUUCGGGUCGUAAAGCGCUUUUCGGGGAGAUGAGGAAGGACAGUAUCCCCGGAAUAAGUCUCGGCUAACUACGUGCCAGCAGCCGCGGUAAAACGUAGGAGGCAAGCGUUAUCCGAAUUUACUGGGCGUAAAGGGUGUGCAGGCGGUUCGAUAAGUUGGGUGUGAAAUCUCCCGGCUCAACUGGGAGAGGACGCUCAAGACUGUCGGACUGGAGGGCGGUAGAGGGAGGUGGAAUUCCCGGUGUAGUAGUGAAAUGCGUAGAUAUCGGGAGGAACACCAGUGGCGAAAGCGGCCUCCUGGACCGUACCUGACGCUGAGACACGAAAGCUAGGGGAGCGAA